AGGAUGAACGCUGGCGGCGUGCCUAAGUACAUGCAAGUCGAGCGGUAAGGCCUCUUCGGAGGUACACGAGCGGCGGACGGCUGAGUAACACGUAGGAACGUACCCCAAAGUGAGGGAUAAGCACCAGAAAUGGUGUCUAAUACCGCAUGUGCUCUAAGGAGUAAAGCUUCGGCGCUUUGGGAACGGCCUGCGCAUGAUUAGCUUGUUGGUGAGGUAAAAGCUCACCAAGGCGACGAUCAUUAGCUGGUCUGAGAGGAUGAUCAGCCAGACUGGGACUGAGAACGGCCCAGACUCCACGGAGGCAGCAGUAGGGAAUUUUCCACAAUGGGCG
This 331-nucleotide ribosomal RNA is filed under the name uncultured bacterium. RNAcentral describes it as "SSU rRNA". It matches the Rfam family "Bacterial small subunit ribosomal RNA", at positions 26 to 377 of the family's 1533-position model. The record is from RNAcentral.